AUUGAACGCUGGCGGCAGGCCUAACACAUGCAAGUCGGACGGUAGCACAGGGGAGCUUGCUCCUCGGGUGACGAGUGGCGGACGGGUGAGUAAUGUCUGGGGAUCUGCCCGAUAGAGGGGGAUAACCACUGGAAACGGUGGCUAAUACCGCAUAAUGUCGCAAGACCAAAGAGGGGGACCUUCGGGCCUCUCACUAUCGGAUGAACCCAGAUGGGAUUAGCUAGUAGGCGGGGUAACGGCCCACCUAGGCGACGAUCCCUAGCUGGUCUGGGAGGAUGACCAGCCACACUGGAACUGAGACACGGGCCAGACUCCUACGGGAGGCAGCAGUGGGGAACAUUGCACAAUGGGCGCAAGCCUGAUGCAGCCAUGCCGCGUGUAUGAAGAAGGCCUUCGGGCUGUAAAGUACUUUCAGCGGGGAGGAAGGCGAUGUGGUUAAUAACCGCGUCGAUUGACGUUACCCGCAGAAGAAGCACCGGCUAACUCCGUGCCAGCCGCCGCGGUAA
RNAcentral lists this ribosomal RNA (506 nucleotides) under uncultured bacterium. RNAcentral's name for it is "partial 16S ribosomal RNA". It matches the Rfam family "Bacterial small subunit ribosomal RNA", at positions 29 to 523 of the family's 1533-position model. The record is from RNAcentral.